Molecule: ribosomal RNA, 436 nt
Filed under: uncultured Comamonadaceae bacterium
Lineage: Bacteria; Pseudomonadati; Pseudomonadota; Betaproteobacteria; Burkholderiales; Comamonadaceae
Description: bacterial SSU rRNA
Rfam family: Bacterial small subunit ribosomal RNA
Source: RNAcentral
AUUGAACGCUGGCGGCAUGCCUUACACAUGCAAGUCGAACGGCAGCACGGGAGCAAUCCUGGUGGCGAGUGGCGAACGGGUGAGUAAUACAUCGGAACGUGCCCAAUCGUGGGGGAUAACGCAGCGAAAGCUGUGCUAAUACCGCAUACGAUCUACGGAUGAAAGCAGGGGAUCGCAAGACCUUGCGCGAAUGGAGCGGCCGAUGGCAGAUUAGGUAGUUGGUGAGGUAAAGGCUCACCAAGCCGUCGAUCUGUAGCUGGUCUGAGAGGACGACCAGCCACACUGGGACUGAGACACGGCCCAGACUCCUACGGGAGGCAGCAGUGGGGAAUUUUGGACAAUGGGCGAAAAGCCUGAUCCAGCCAUGCCGCGUGCAGGAUGAAGGCCUUCGGGUUGUAAACUGCUUUUGUACGGAACGAUACGGUCUUUUCUAAUA